This 65-nucleotide transfer RNA is filed under the name marine eukaryotic metagenome. It matches the Rfam family "tRNA". Rfam says of the family: Transfer RNA (tRNA) molecules are approximately 80 nucleotides in length. The record is from RNAcentral.
GGGCGUAGCUCAAUGGUAGAGCCCCAGCCUUCCAAGCUGGUUAUGUGGGUUCGAUCCCCAUCGCC